CCAGGAGGCCGGGCAGCCGCGUCCCAUCGCGAGGUGGGUCGAGGAAAGUCCGGGCUCCGCGAAACGAGGGUGGCGGGUAACGCCCGCCCGGUGGACCCUGCGAAAGCGGGGAAGCCCGAGGGAAAGUGCCACAGAGAGUGUACCGCCGAUGGCCUCUAAAGGGCACAGGCAAGGGUGAAAGGGUGCGGUAAAGGCGCACCGGGGCGCUGGUAACAGCGUCCGCAUGGCAAACCCCACCCGGAGCAAGACCGAAUAGGGGUCUCGAGCCUUAGCCCUUUGGGGCGAAGGCAGGGGUGUUUCGCCCCGAGAGGCCCGGGUUGGUCGCUGGAGCGGCCGGGCAACCGGUCGCCGAGAUGAAUGGCUGCCCCCGCGCGCCGGUCCGCCCAAGGAAACGAGGGCAGAUACCGCGAGCGGGACAGAACCCGGCUUACAGGCCUCCUGGCAAC
This 446-nucleotide RNase P RNA is filed under the name Sphingomonadales bacterium 12-68-11. Its description in RNAcentral is "RNase P RNA component class A". It matches the Rfam family "Bacterial RNase P class A". Rfam says of the family: Ribonuclease P (RNase P) is a ubiquitous endoribonuclease, found in archaea, bacteria and eukarya as well as chloroplasts and mitochondria. Lineage: Bacteria; Pseudomonadati; Pseudomonadota; Alphaproteobacteria; Sphingomonadales. The record is from RNAcentral. RNAcentral also lists the same sequence under 1 other name.